GUCCACGCCCUAAACGGUGGGUACUAGGUGUAGGGCUCGCAAGGGUUCUGUGCCGUAGGGAAACCAUUAAGUACCCCGCCUGGGGAGUACGGCCGCAAGGUUGAAACUCAAAGGAAUUGACGGGGGCCCGCACAAGCGGUGGAGCAUGUGGUUUAAUUCGACGCAACGCGAAGAACCUUACCUGGGCUUGACAUGUUAGUGGUAGGAAACUGAAAAGGGCCCGACCUGUAGCAAUACAGGAGCUAACACAGGUGCUGCAUGGCUGUCGU
This 269-nucleotide ribosomal RNA is filed under the name uncultured bacterium. RNAcentral's name for it is "partial 16S ribosomal RNA". It matches the Rfam family "Bacterial small subunit ribosomal RNA", at positions 793 to 1055 of the family's 1533-position model. The record is from RNAcentral.